UCCCUGAUGGCUAAGUGUAAAGAAUCUGCCUGCCAAUGCUGAAGACACAGGUUCAAUCCCUGAUUUGGGAA
Molecule: transfer RNA, 71 nt
Filed under: Ovis aries (sheep)
Lineage: Eukaryota; Metazoa; Chordata; Mammalia; Artiodactyla; Bovidae
Rfam family: tRNA
About the family: Transfer RNA (tRNA) molecules are approximately 80 nucleotides in length. Their secondary structure includes four short double-helical elements and three loops (D, anti-codon, and T loops). Further hydrogen bonds mediate the characteristic L-shaped molecular structure. tRNAs have two regions of fundamental functional importance: the anti-codon, which is responsible for specific mRNA codon recognition, and the 3' end, to which the tRNAs corresponding amino acid is attached (by aminoacyl-tRNA synthetases). tRNAs cope with the degeneracy of the genetic code in two manners: having more than one tRNA (with a specific anti-codon) for a particular amino acid; and 'wobble' base-pairing, i.e. permitting non-standard base-pairing at the 3rd anti-codon position.
Source: Rfam by way of RNAcentral